UGCCAUCUUAUUCAUUACUUAACAGGCUCUUGUCAUCUAGUUUGUUGCCCCGAGGAAUGAGGACCUCCUCCUCUUUGUGUCCGGCAGCCCUACAUCUCAUGUUGGCUCUGGCUCCAGCUUAGGCCUUCAGACAAUGGUUAUGACUGGAUGGCAUAUAACGAACAUCCACUUGGAAUGAAAGGAACUUAUAGUGUUCCCUGACUUCUCUGGAGCAUGCAGGAAAAUCUGGUGAAUGUUACAAUUGUUUUCAGACAGGAAGUGACUGCAUCAUUAACACUAUCCAGAAGUGAGCAGCGAUAAACCUUGGAACAGCUACAGACAGAAAAGCUGGGCAGAAUGACACAAGAUGUGAUGCUGAAUAUCAACCUGGCAUUAGUGGCAAAUUCCAGCGCCACCCAGAAUAUGUGAAAAUAUCUGAAGAAGAUACAGUAUGUUUUCUACUGCAUUGGAGCUUGUAUAGUUUCUUGUUUUCCAGAUGCAUACA
RNAcentral lists this long non-coding RNA (484 nucleotides) under Pogona vitticeps (central bearded dragon). RNAcentral describes it as "lncRNA (ENSPVIG00000014034.1)". Lineage: Eukaryota; Metazoa; Chordata; Lepidosauria; Squamata; Agamidae. The record is from RNAcentral.